This 28955-nucleotide long non-coding RNA is filed under the name Citrus sinensis (sweet orange). RNAcentral's name for it is "long non-coding RNA (CSIN_LNC001640)". The record is from RNAcentral. Lineage: Eukaryota; Viridiplantae; Streptophyta; Magnoliopsida; Sapindales; Rutaceae.
CUCUGAUACCACUGUUAAUAAAUUGAUGGGUGUAGCAGACAUGCAACUAAAGUAAAAUUGAGAAAUAAUAAGACACAAAAUCACAAAGGGACACAAGAAAUUACGUGGUUCGGCUUUUAGCCUACGUCCAUGGGCGAAAACAAAAGAAAAAUAUUUUAUUAGUGAAAAAGAGUUACAAAUAUUGUAGUAUUUUAACUCACUACCCAAAAUCUCAAUACACCCAAAUUCUCAAAUCACUAAACUCUUAAAAUCACUCUCUAAAUAAAGAAAAAGAACUGAAGAACUCAAUGCACAAAAUGAGGAAAAUGCCCCUCCUUAUUUAGCUAAAAUUCAGCUACUGUGCAUUUUAUUAUUUUAUUUUUUUUCUUUACGCAGCCCAUCACUUCGUCUUUUGUUUCUUCUUCUUUUUCUUCUUUCUUCUUUCUCUUUUUUCUUCUUUCUUUAUUCUUUUUCUUCUUCCUCUUUUGUUUUCUUCUGCUGUACCGUACAUCCGCCUUGGCCGUACAGCAGAAUUGUGCGAAUUGUACCAUCAAACAUUUUGAUCUAAUGAGCAUUUUGGAGAGUUCGAAUAGCUCACACUUAUAAAAUUUAUUCUAUGAGUUGCAGCAAGAAGAUAAGUUUGGUUUCUUAAGGAAGUUAGUGGUGUGAUAGAAGCACUACUUCCAAUAUAUGGCAUCGGUUAACAAUGAUCCGAGCCCAUAAUUAGAAAAGAAAUAUUUGGUGAAGGAAAAAAUUUUGGUGCUCCUUUUCCUUUUACUCACUGCUAUAUAUAUAUUUCAACUAAUUAUAAUAUUAUAUAUAUAAAUAUGUAUAUUUUAAUCAAUCAUAAUAACUUGUUUUAUUAAAUCACCUACGAAAAAUUAGAUUAAAUGCGGGUGCCUUGCUUUAUAUGUGGCUAACUUUUAAAUUAGAUUAAAUUUAAUCGGUUGCGGCGAAAUGUCUUAGAUUACUCACUCUGCACAUAUCAUUUCAGACAAUUUAAUCUAAUUUAAUUUAAUAAAAAUACCCCUAUUAAAUUUAAUCUAAUUUACUAGUUAGCCACAUAUAAAGCAAGGCACCCGCAUCUAAUCUAAGACAUUUCACUUUGCUUUAUAUUGAAUUGUCAAAAUAGAAAAAGCUCACCACAAUGUAAAUUCAAUUUAAUAUAAAGCAAAAUGAAAUUGUCUGUAAUUGAAGUCACUUUGGGUAUUUCAAUAAUUAUUGCAUCAUCGGCGGCGCCGCCAGAAAAGCUCGCCACAAUGUCCUCGUCACUGUAUAUAUUGGGCAAUAAUCACUUGAUUUGCAUGACUGUUCGGCACACCUUAGCCCGUUUAUCAUUUAAUUAUUUGUACUUCCCAUAUUACCAAUAUUUAGCCGUAUUAUUGUGGAAAUGUCAAAGUAGGACACAGGUAAGGCAACCAAUCAUCAUCCUUCACAUUUUCAAUGUGUGCACUAAUUGAAGAUAUUUUGGAUGAAAGACGUACCACAAAAGAUCCACAACGCGGAUACAACAACGGACUAGUUAAAAUUCUAUCCCCAUUGUCCUGUUCAUUACACAUGGAGCUUCUAGGGUUGUCCUCCUCCUUGCUGAUCCUUCUAGCUAUUCUUCUCUCUGCCUUCACUUUGCUGAAACUAGAGAAGAAAUCAGAAACCAAUAACAGAAUCUCAAAUCUACCACCAGGACCAUGGAAAUUACCUGUAAUAGGAAAUUUGCACCAGCUGGCUGGCUCCCUCCCCCAUCAUGGACUAAGGGACCUGUCCAAGAAAUACGGACCACUUAUGCUUCUACAACUCGGGCAAGUUCCAACCGUUAUUGUAUCUUCCCCUGAAGUUGCCAAUGAAGUUAUGAAAGCCCAUGAUGUUAUCUUUGCAUCCAGGCCUCAUUUUCCUGCAGCACAAAUCAUGUCUUAUAAUUAUUGUGAUAUAAUUUUAUCACCAUAUAGUGAUUCUUGGAAACAACUGCGAAAAAUCUGUGUGUAUGAGAUUUUGAGCGCCAAAAGAGUCCAAUCUUUCCAAUCAGUAAGAGAAGCAGAGGUAUCUGAUCUCAUUAAUUGGAUUUCUUCAAAAGCUGGAUCCGUUGUUAACUUAACUGAGAACGUUUACUCAUUAAUGUACGGUAUCACUUCAAGGGCGGCCUUUGGAUACAGAUCCAGAGACCAAGAAGCAUUUGUCUCAGUUAUAGAGGAAGCAACAAAAGUGAUCUCAGGUUUUAAUAUUGCAGAUAUUUUUCCUUCCAUUGGAUUGGUUCAGUGGCUUACUGGAAACAAGUCUCAGGUGGAGAAACUGCAUCAAGAAGCUGACAGAAUAGUUGAAAACAUUAUCAAUGAACAUAAGAAGCGCAAGGAAACAUUGAAGAAUUGCAAGAUUGGUGAUGAUGAAGAUCUGGUUGAUGUUCUGUUGAAAAUUCAAGGGCUCGGAAAUUAUGGUUCUUCCUUGACUACAGACAACAUCAAAGCAGUAAUCUCUGUGAGUAACCAUACAUUUAAUAUCAUCAAUUCAAUUUUUUUUUUCCGUUAUGUUGUUUCUUUUAAUGUUAGCCUAGUGUUAUGUGAUAGGAUGAAUGAGACCAUAUAACUGUCUGCGAAAACUCAUUUACAUAAACACCGUUUCAGGACAUUUUUGGUGCUGGGAGUGAAACAUCUGCCACCACUGUGGAUUGGGCAAUGUGUGAAAUGAUAAAAAAUCCAAGAGUUAUAAAAAAAGCAGAAGCUGAGGCGAGGGAAGUGUUUAAUAGAAGGGGGAAAGUCGACGAAACGGGCAUUAAAGAAAUGAUGUACAUGAAGCUAGUUGUUAAAGAGACAUUGAGACUACAUCCUCCUGGUCCUUUGUUAUUGCCAAGAGAAUGUGGAGAGCGAUGUAAGAUUAAUGGAUUUGACAUACCUGUGAAAGCUAAAGUCAUUGUUAAUGCAUGGUCGAUUGGAAGAGAUCCCAAGUACUGGACCGAACCUGAGAGCUUUAUUCCAGAGAGGUUCCUCGAUUAUUCUGUUGACUACAAGGGGACUAAUUUUGCGUACAUCCCAUUUGGUGCUGGUAGGAGGAUCUGCCCUGGAACGUCAUUUGGUCUGGCCAGCGUGGAGCUUACACUCGCGAUGUUAUUAUACCAUUUCGAAUGGAAACUACCAAAUGGAAUGAAGCAUGAGGAUUUGGACAUGACUGAGGCCUUUGGCGCAACAGUAAGAAGAAAACAAGAUUUGUGUAUGAUUCCUAUUCCACACCAUCCUUCAUCUAUUGCAUAAGAAACUAAAGAAUAACUUUUGUAAAAGAGGAGUGCUUCAGAGUGGCUGCAUGAGCAGAACCAUAGAAAGGUAUUUUGUUUUCAAUCAUUUAUUGGAGAGAGUUAUUAUGUGAGAUUAUGGCUCAGGUUUCAGCAAAGACUAAUCUAUAUGAGGUUGAAAGCUUAUCCCUAAAAUCAUCUUCCGUCAUUGUUAUUUGUCAAAGCUUGGGCUUAUUCUGCUAGAGCUAUAGCAGAAAUUAAAUAAUACUUAAUGCAACUUCCUGCAGCAAGUAGUAUGUAGCACAUAAAAUGAGUUGAAGUUCAUUUUUAAUUCUUUUUUAAUGUUAGAAAUCAUAUCCUCCUUUUAUGUUCAUGCUACAGAGAAACAGAAUACUAAUUAUUUUUAUGAAAUGUCUUAGAUUGAUAUGUGUUAGUCUUAAUACCAACGCCCAAUAUCCAGCUGUAACUGGUGGUACUGGAGUGCCAUUUUAACAAGAAAGCAAAACCAAAGGUUCGGAAGAUGAAAGCUGACUAAUUUGAGCUAGAUUUACAUGAAUCGUAAGUAAAUAAUGACAUUCCUAUGUUAGCAUACCAGCAAAUGAAGUUGGAAAAAUCCUUGUAAUUGUCUUCAAAGGUUCUGAUAUAUAAAAAACUCAUAAACCGUUGAUGAAAAGUCUUUUAUUGAAUUGUUCUCCGUCUGCAACUUUUAUGCAUCAUUGUAUGGACAUAAAACAAGUUUUCGGUAAACAAAAAAGCUUCCGCUGCAUGAUUAAUUUCCCCAAAAAAUAUAAGGAAUUUUUUACUUGGUAAGAAAGAAUAACUAAGUAUUGCUGCAUGCAUAAAAUGUCCUCUGUUUUGUGCACUUGGGACAAGCUUUUCAAAAUGAACCUGUUCUAUUGCCGAUAAGGGGACUAAAUUUGAAUAAAUCCCAUUUGGGGCUAGUGAGAGGAUAUGCAGCCCCCGAAUGUUAUCUGAUCUUGCCACUGUUGAGCUUCCACCUGCAAUGCUGCUGUACCAUUUUGACUUGGAACCUUGAGCAAUUUAUUUGAACUUCAACGAGUCCUUUGAUAUGAUAGUCUGGAGAAAAGAUGAUCUGCACUAAAUCCGAUUUCCUUGUCAUCAUUUAUAACAAGGAAAAUUGAUGCAUAUAAUCAAAUAUUAAACAAUAUCAAACUCUAAUAAUACUGGAGGGCAAUACCACAGGUAAGAUAUCUUACAAGAUAUUUCAUUGAAUAAUCUUGUGUUAAUCUGUCCUUUGCUUUCUCCUCUGUUCCUGGAGGAGGGACUAGCCAUGUGGUAACUAUAGCAGGUCCACUUGCAUGUUCAAACGCCAUGGUUGACAAACUCAAUUGAAUAGUAUAAGAUUAUCUAAAAUAGUGCUGACGGCUGACCUCGAGGAUCACUACAUCGUAUCUUUAAUUUAAUUCUCUAAGAUAAGAGGUUUGGUUUCGAACACCAUCCAUUGACACUAGUAACAGAAUUAAGUUGUCGUUGGGCUAAAUAAUACGAAUAAUAAGAAUUCUCUUUAUAACUAACAAUUAAGGUAGGGAGAGCUGUAAGCAAGAGAUUUGUUCUCUGAAUUAAUCUAAUCAUGGACCUCGAAUUUCCCACCUUCCAAAUCUUUCUUGCUUUUGUUGUCUUUGUUUGAAAGUUAAGAUUUGCAACUGUAAUAUGUGUUUGGGAACUAAGAAAAUGAAAGGAAUACUUUGAAGUUUUUAUUUUAUAUAAUUCUCGAUUACAAACAAAGUAAAUCAAUCUUAGCUUAUAUACAAAACUAUAAUCAGAGAGCUAAACUUAUUAAGUAAGCUUAACUACAAAACAGAAUGAAAAGCAUGCUCCAACAAACUUGCUGAGCUGGCAAAGCUUCUUAACUGACUCUGCUGAUUUCUGCUUUGACUCACACGUGCUGACUGAGCUGAUCCUUCUGCUGUACGGCCAAGGCGGAUGUACGGUACAGCAGGCUCAAGGGGCAUGUUUGCACAUUGAGUUUGGCUCGAAAAUAAUUGAAAUGGAUAAAAGUGAGUGGCUUAGUCAAGAGGUCUGCAAUCUGCUCUUCACUGGGAAUGUAUCUGAUUUCCAGUUCUUUGGCUAAGACUUUAUCUCUAAUGAAGUGCAUGUCUAAUUCAAUAUGUUUUGUUCUUGAAUGAUAGACAGGAUUCUUAGCUAGUUCUAUUGCACUGACAUUAUCACACCAGAUCAUAGGAAGAGAGGAACAUUCAAUACCAAGUUCAUCAAACAGUGACUGAAUCCAUGAGAUUUCUGCACUUGCAGCUGCAAGGGCUCUGUACUCACUCUCUGCACUGGACCUAGCAACCACUGACUGUUUCAUGGAUGACCAAGAUAUCAAGUUACUUCCCAAAUAAAUGCAAUAAACACCUGUUGAUUUCCUGUCAUCAAUGUCACAGGCCCAAUCUGCAUUAGUGUAACCUGAGAGCUUCAUUUCUCCUUCUGUGGAAAACUUUAAACCAAAAUCUUCAGUCUCUUUUAGAUAUCUAAGAACUCUUUUGCAUGCAAGGAUAUGUUGAAGUGUAGGUGCUGACACAUACUGACUUAGCUUGUUUACUGCAUAAGCUAUUUCUGGUCUUGUUAGCACUAAAUACUGCAACCCUCCAACAAGGCUUCUGUAACCAGUAGGAUCUUCAACAUACUGACCCAAAUGACUCUUAGCUUCUUUCUGGAGCUUUACUCCUGUCACCAUUGGAGUGUCACACCCUUCACACUCUAUCAUAUCAGUUUUGUUCAACAGAUCCCUGAUAUAUUUUCUCUGAGACAGGUAAAUAUUAUCUGCAGUAUAAGAGACUUCUAUACCAAGAAAAUACGACAGUUUCCCCAAGUCUUUCAGAGCAAACACUUGACUGAGUUCCAAAAUAAAUUGCUCCAGCUCAGCACUAUUAGGACCUGUGAUCAGUAUAUCAUCCACAUAUAUCAAAACAAAGAUUAUUGAGUCCUGUUUUCCUUUACAGAACAAGGAUGUAUCAGCUCUUGAUUUUCUGAAUCUCCACUUGGUAAUUAGAAUAUCUCUCAACUUAUCAUACCAAGCUCUUGGAGCUUGUUUUAAGCCAUAUAAAGCCUUCUUUAGUUUGCAGACAUAGCUAGGCUUCUGCAGAUCAACAAACCCCUCAGGUUGACACAUAUAAACAUCUUCUGUCAGCUCCCCAUUUAAGAAUGCAUUAUUUACAUCCACUUGCCUAAUUGUCCAUUUAUGCAUUGCAGCUAAACUCAACAUAAUUCUCACUGUAGAAGAUUUCACAACAGGGCUGAAUGUUUCAAAGUAAUCUACACCCUCUGUUUGUUGAACACCUUUUGCAACUAACCGAGCUUUAUACUUAGCUAUGCUUCCAUCACUGUUUUGUUUGACUCUAAACACUCACUUAUUGCCUACAACUUUGUGUUCAGCUGAAGAUGGAACUAAUAACCAAGUCUUAUUCCUGAUUAAAGCCUCAUACUCAUCACUCAUGGCUUGAUGCCAGUUCUUAUCACUGAGAGCUUCUUGGACUGUAUCAGGUUCUUUAUUGACUAAAGCUGCUGUAUAUAAUUUUAGUUUGAAGAUACCAGAUUUGGAUCUGGUAAUCAUUUGGUGAAAAGGUUUCUGAGUCUGGCUUGUGUUUAAGGCAUCAGGGAUAGUAAUUUGUGGCUCAAAUUGUUGUUGGGAAGCUAUGUGAGGUGAUGAAGAUUCUGUUAAAGAAUGAUUAUGUAUCUCAUGAUGUAAAAUAUUUGUAUGUAAAGAUGAUGAAGAUACCUGUUCACUUCUUGCUGAGUCUGCUGAGAUAUUUUCUUCAAGGCUGCUAUCAGAGGUAGAAAGUGUUGAUAGAUGAAAGAUUUGUUGCUGAGUAAAGGAUGACACAGGAAUUUCAGAUGAGGAUGUGUUUUCAGAAGAAAAGAUGUUGUUGGUCAGGUAAGGAAAUGUAGUUUCAUCAAAGAUCACAUGUCUAAGUAUAUGAACCCAUCAAAGAUCACAUGUCUAAGUAUCACUUGUAACCUUUAUAAGAUGGGCUGUAUCCAAUAAAGAUGCAUUUUCUUGUAUGAAAAUCAAACUUAUGCUUGUUAAAAUCCCUCAAAUAUAGAUAACAAAGACAACCAAAACAUUUUAGGAAGCUGUAAUCUGGUUUGUGUUUGAAUAAUUUCUCAUAAGGAGACACAAACUUUAGCACAGGAGUAGGCAAUCUAUUUAUGUGAUAAACUGCAGUGUGAAUAGCAUCCCACCAAAACUUAAAGGGCAGAUCAGCUUGAGCUAAUAAUGUCAAUCCCAAUUCUACUAUAUGUCUAUGCUUUCUCUCAACCAAACCAUUUUGAUGGUGAGUAUAUGGACAUGAAUGUCGAAAUAUGAUCCCAUUUUGAUUCAAGAAAUCAGUGAACACUCUAUAUUCUCCCCCCCCAGUCAGAUUGCAACAUCUUGACUUUAGUACUGACCUGGUUUUCUACUUGGAUCUUAAAGAGUUUAAAAACUGCAAAAGCAUCUGACUUAAGCUUGAGUGGAUAAAUCCAAGUGUACCUACUGUAGUCAUCCACAAAACUGAUAUAAUAUUUGUAUCCAUUCCUAGAAAUAGUAGGUAAAGGCCCCCAAAUGUCAGUAUAUACCAGUUCCAGAACCUGUGUACUUUUAGUUUCAGUAAUGGGAAAAUGUUGUUUAUGAGUCUUUCCUAAUUGACAAGCAUCACAGAGAGAAGAUGAAAGAGUUUUAGAAUAGACUUUAAAUUGCUUACAAAGCAAAUGCAUUAAUAUUGCUGAAUUUGGAUGACCAAACCUUCUAUGUAAUAAGGUCAGAUCAUCUGGUUUUUGAUUACAAUCAUUUGAAAAUGAGUUAUUACAAGUUGUAGUAAAAGCACUACAAUUUUGAUGAACAGAAGAAACAUUUGAAACUGACAGCAUAAAAACUGGCUUAUUUAUCUGAGAUUGUGACAGAUGAGAUGUAGGUGAGGAAGACUGAGGCUUAGGUUUCAAUAGUAGCUUGUAGAGACCUUUCUCAGCAGAGCCCUGCAGAAGAACCUGUCCCUUCAUGUCCUUUACAAAACAAAAAUUUCCACAGAAUUCAACAGAGAGAGAAUUUUCAGAGGUGAGUUUAGAGAUGCUUAACAAAUUUUUAGUUAUUGAAGGAACAAACAACAUGUCUUUAAGUGCUAUAACAAGAUGUGAAGAGUGACAGUUUGAAGCUCUAAAUGAUAAGAAAGUAUGUCCAACAUGAGAGAUAAAUAAGCCUUUACCAUUUCCAAUGAUGAGCUGAUCAUAUGAGCUGAUCAUUACCUUUAUACUCCUCUCUGAGCUGCAGAUUUUCCAUAUUGUUUGUUAAGUGGUGAGUAGCUCCACUAUCCAAAUACCAGCCAUCAUCAGCAACUCCUUCAAAAUUUGCCAUAUAUGCAGCUCCAGAAUUGUAAGCAUCACCUCCAGAAUAAGGAUAAGCUCCAGAAGUAGGAUGAAAAUUUGGUGACAUAUAGUUGAAACAAUCAUAUUCUUCACAGCUGGGAUGUGAGUUGAAACUCUCAAAAUUAGCAAAGUAUGCAGAUCUUGGCCCUUUUCCCUUAUUGAAAUUUCUUGGGGUAGGAGUAUAGUCUUCUAUAAAUCUAUGCCAGCAGAUGUCAGCUGUAUGACCAGCUUUGAAACAGAUCUGACAAGUGGUUUCUUCCAUAGCUCCAGUAGAUCCUGUUGAUCCAUUCAUUCCAACAAAAUGUACAUGAAGCUAGUUGUUAAAGAGACAUUGAGACUACAUCCUCCUGGUCCUUUGUUAUUGCCAAGAGAAUGUGGAGAGUGAUGUAAGAUUAAUGGAUUUGACAUACCUGUGAAAGCUAAAGUCAUUGUUAAUGCAUGGUCGAUUGGAAGAGAUCCCAAGUACUGGACCGAACCUGAGAGCUUUAUUCCAGAGAGGUUCCUCGAUUAUUCUGUUGACUACAAAGGGACUAAUUUUGCGUACAUCCCAUUUGGUGCUGGUAGGAGGAUCUGCCCUGGAACGUCAUUUGGUCUGGCCAGCGUGGAGCUUACACUCGCGAUGUUAUUAUACCAUUUCGAAUGGAAACUACCAAAUGGAAUGAAGCAUGAGGAUUUGGACAUGACUGAGGCCUUUGGCGCAACAGUAAGAAGAAAACAAGAUUUGUGUAUGAUUCCUAUUCCACACCAUCCUUCAUCUAUUGCAUAAGAAACUAAAGAAUAACUUUUGUAAAAGAGGAGUGCUUCAGAGUGGCUGCAUGAGCAGAACCAUAGAAAGGUAUUUUGUUUUCAAUCAUUUAUUGGAGAGAGUUAUUAUGUGAGAUUAUGGCUCAGGUUUCAGCAAAGACUAAUCUAUAUGAGGUUGAAAGCUUAUCCCUAAAAUCAUCUUCCGUCAUUGUUAUUUGUCAAAGCUUGGGCUUAUUCUGCUAGAGCUAUAGCAGAAAUUAAAUAAUACUUAAUGCAACUUCCUGCAGCAAGUAGUAUGUAGCACAUAAAAUGAGUUGAAGUUCAUUUUUAAUUCUUUUUUAAUGUUAGAAAUCAUAUCCUCCUUUUAUGUUCAUGCUACAGAGAAACAGAAUACUAAUUAUUUUUAUGAAAUGUCUUAGAUUGAUAUGUGUUAGUGUUAAUACCAACGCCCAAUAUUCGGCUGUAACUGGUGGUACUGGAGUGCCAUUUUAACAAGAAAGCAAAACCAAAGGUUCGGAAGAUGAAAGCUGACUAAUUUGAGCUAGAUUUACAUGAAUCGUAAGUAAAUAAUGACAUUCCUAUGUUAGCAUACCAGCAAAUGAAGUUGGAAAAAUCCUUGUAAUUGUCUUCAAAGGUUCUGAUAUAUAAAAAACUCAUAAACCGUUGAUGAAAAGUCUUUUAUUGAAUUGUUCUCCGUCUGCAACUUUUAUGCAUCAUUGUAUGGACAUAAAACAAGUUUUCGGUAAACAAAAAAGCUUCCGCUGCAUGAUUAAUUUCCCCAAAAAAUAUAAGGAAUUUUUUACUUGGUAAGAAAGAAUAACUAAGUAUUGCUGCAUGCAUAAAAUGUCCUCUGUUUUGUGCACUUGGGACAAGCUUUUCAAAAUGAACCUGUUCUAUUGCCGAUAAGGGGACUAAAUUUGAAUAAAUCCCAUUUGGGGCUAGUGAGAGGAUAUGCAGCCCCCGAAUGUUAUCUGAUCUUGCCACUGUUGAGCUUCCACCUGCAAUGCUGCUGUACCAUUUUGACUUGGAACCUUGAGCAAUUUAUUUGAACUUCAACGAGUCCUUUGAUAUGAUAGUCUGGAGAAAAGAUGAUCUGCACUAAAUCCGAUUUCCUUGUCAUCAUUUAUAACAAGGAAAAUUGAUGCAUAUAAUCAAAUAUUAAACAAUAUCAAACUCUAAUAAUACUGGAGGGCAAUACCACAGGUAAGAUAUCUUACAAGAUAUUUCAUUGAAUAAUCUUGUGUUAAUCUGUCCUUUGCUUUCUCCUCUGUUCCUGGAGGAGGGACUAGCCAUGUGGUAACUAUAGCAGGUCCACUUGCAUGUUCAAACGCCAUGGUUGACAAACUCAAUUGAAUAGUAUAAGAUUAUCUAAAAUAGUGCUGACGGCUGACCUCGAGGAUCACUACAUCGUAUCUUUAAUUUAAUUCUCUAAGAUAAGAGGUUUGGUUUCGAACACCAUCCAUUGACACUAGUAACAGAAUUAAGUUGUCGUUGGGCUAAAUAAUACGAAUAAUAAGAAUUCUCUUUAUAACUAACAAUUAAGGUAGGGAGAGCUGUAAGCAAGAGAUUUGUUCUCUGAAUUAAUCUAAUCAUGGACCUCGAAUUUCCCACCUUCCAAAUCUUUCUUGCUUUUGUUGUCUUUGUUUGAAAGUUAAGAUUUGCAACUGUAAUAUGUGUUUGGGAACUAAGAAAAUGAAAGGAAUACUUUGAAGUUUUUAUUUUAUAUAAUUCUCGAUUACAAACAAAGUAAAUCAAUCUUAGCUUAUAUACAAAACUAUAAUCAGAGAGCUAAACUUAUUAAGUAAGCUUAACUACAAAACAGAAUGAAAAGCAUGCUCCAACAAACUUGCUGAGCUGGCAAAGCUUCUUAACAGACUCUGCUAAUUUCUGCUUUGACUCACACGUGCUGACUGAGCUGAUCCUUUGACUGCAGCAUGAGCUUCCUUAACAGUCUUUAUCUUUACAAUGCUGAAACUAGAAAAGAUAUCCAAAACCAAUAACACAAUUUCAAAUCUCCCUCCAAGCCCAUGGAAGUUACCAGUAAUCGAAAAUUUGCACCAGCUGGUUGGCUCUCUACCCCAUCAUGUCUUAGAAACUUGGCCAUAAAGUAUAGACCUCUUAUACACUUACAACUUGGAGAAGUUUCCACCAUUAUAGUAUCUUCUCCGGAAUUCGCCAAACUGUUUGGGGGAUAAAAGCGGAGCACGACCAGAGGCUUGCUCGCAUGAAUCUUCCUUCCCUCGUCUAAAGCGAGAAGAUUCACUCGAGGAUAAUUUUCCUCGACUUCGCAAAGAAAAAGAUCGAGCACAGGUGGGAGACCGGACUGAAGCGAUGAGAUAACCUGCCCUAAGACACGACUGAGACUUGGUUAAAGGCCUACCCACGAUUUCUCCCAAGAUAUCCGGGCACGAAACCAAUCCACUAACAGUCGAGUAAUGCAUCCACUAACACUCAUGUAGUAUACCCAUUAACAAUCGCGCAUCAAUAUUGGGUGUAGUGGUUUUGGCUGCCUAUAAAAGCCCCAGCCACGUAAGUAAGUUUCUCUUCUUUUCUUUUUUUAGAAAAUCCCCACUCUCUCUCUUUUAAUUUUUAGAGAUCAACUAAAAAAACUUUCUUAUUAGAAAAGCAAACAAAAUUAAAGCAUGUGAGAGGUGGCAAAACUUUUUCCCAAAAUGCCCAAUUACUGACUUAGGCGUCGAAGUUUUCUUGUCGGAAAAGCAUAUGGCACCGUCUUCCUAAUUUUUUAUGAGUUCAGGUAAUUGAGUAAGACAAGUUAGUGAUCGAUCAUAUCUGCUCGAGUAUAAAGCAACAGUGUUAACCAUCCCUGCGAUAAAACAAAUUUAAGUGUUGACGUAGACGCCUGGUCGCAUCAACAACGACUAGAUUUCAACAUCAACAUUUUGGCGCCGUCUAUUGGAAAUGAACAAAAAGUUACAACCAACGGAGCAAUUUAAGAAAGAGAAAGGGAAUGAACAUGGAUACGGGAGGAAAUAAUGCCUAAAGGGUGGAGUCUAGAAUAAAUAAGCCAAUCACUUUGCGGGAAAUAGAGAAUGAAGCAAGGGAGAGAACAAUCCAUGAACGGAUGGAAUAGAUGGAGAGACAAAUGGAGACCCUCAUAGCUGUUUUACAUGAGUUGAGGGACGGGCAAAGAAGACUUGGUGGAGGAAGUCUAGGGAUAAUCAAGAUGUUCCAGAACCCAACAAUAGAGCAAAUCGAGGCGAACGGAAUCCAGGAAUUAGAAGUCAGCUUUACUUUAAACCAAAUCCUAGCGUUGGGAGUUAAUUUCAUAUUGAGCAGAACCUCGAGGCAGGAAAUAGUUCCAUGAAAAACAAAAGCUGGAUAAUACUGGCAAAGAAAAGAAUCUCAAGGAAAGAAAUUGAGACAACAUCUGCAUGAUGUAGAACGAGAGCGCGAAUGAGUCGCUGUAUGCAAUCCUGGUCGAGCAAUAAAAUUAGAAGGAGAGGUGCAAAGGCUAGCUCAGAUUAUCGAUGAGACGCAAGGCCGGGGAAAGCCUCCAAGCUAGAGGAUCAUGUUGAACAACAAGUCCCUUCUCUCCGCAGAAAUUAUGAGCACCACGAUACGUAAAGAUUUCCAUUUUCCCAAUCUCAAAUUCUCCAGGAAAAGCAAUCCUCUGGUACACAUUGAACAUUUCAAUGACAUGACGAAGGUACAGGGCUUGACACAGGUGCAAAGAUGUAGAGCAUUAUGAGCGAGCACAUGAAUGGUAUCGUUGGUUGCCCCGUGGGAGUAUUAGGAGUUUCAAGCAUAUGCGUAUAGAAUUUGCAAAGUAGAUUUAAGGAGCAAUUGCAUUAGAAGAUGAUAUGAUUGACCAGAUGGGGAUUAAGUAGGGAGAUGAUGAGCCCGUCAGGGAAUUUGUAAAAAGAUACCAUGUAACACCCCAAUUCCACUAACAAGGUAAUAUGGUGAAAUUGAAGUGUAACUGCAUUUCAUUAUUCUCAUCUUUAAAACUUUCAAAGUAAUAACCAACAAUAAAUGUUCUAAACCUCUAAAAGAAUAUAAAUAAAUUUUAAAAUAACAUAUCCUUAAAUAAAUAUCAUCCCAAAAGAAACUAAAUUGUUCUUAUAUUAUCAACAUAACAUUAAUCUCCAAAAGAAAUAGAGCUCUUAUUUUUCCUUCUAAGACUAUGAGCUCACAUCAUCUAACUCUAUCUACAAAAAUAUGAUAAUGAUGGGUGAGCCAUCAAUUCGAUAAGUAAAUUCAUGCACAAUACUAAAAAUCAUUAAAAUAUAAUUUAAUAAAAAAUUUUAGAUAUACAUAAUAAUAAGAGAAAUUACCUUUGUAAAUCAUCAUUUAGGAAAAAUAAAUCACAUCAUCAUAAAGUCAUUGAAAUCCUUUAAACAUAACAAAAGCAUUUUAAACACAUAAAAUAUAAUUUACUCAUGCCACAUAGUAUCACUUGUAGACCCGGUGACCCGGCCAUAUAACAUCAUUCAAGGUAUUGUACCCGUGGAAAUCAUUAACAUUAACAUCAUAUGUACAUAAAAUCCGGAUAGCCUUCCAUAACAUAAUAUAACAUAACUAUGAACAAUAAGCCAAAACAUUUAAAAUCAUCCUUGAACUUUUAAUCAUUUGAAAACUUUCGUCAAUUACAUUUAGGGUGCGUUUGGUAUUCUGUAUUGUAUUAUACUGUAUUGCACUAUUUUAAUGCCGGUGUAUUGUAUUAUGUUGUAUUGUGUUAACAUUGUAUUAUAACAAUGCUAUACAAUGUUUGGUGUUAUAUUGUACUGUAUUAAUUUUUAAUUAGACUAUAUUUGGUGUUGCAUUGUAUUGUAUUAAUUUUUUGUGAUUAAUUAAAUUAAAUAACUAAAAAAAUAAUAUUUAUUAAUACUUAGAAAAACAAUAAAUAUAGAAAUCUUAAAUUGUAGAAAUUUAACAAUUUUUUUAGUAAAUGUUAAAAAUUAAUGAUUAAAUUUCUAAAAUUUGUAUUAUAAUUAUAAUAAAAUAAAAUUUAUAAUUGAGGCAAAAAGCUACCGCAUUACGCAAACCCAAGGUUCCCUCGGGUUUGCGCAAUGCGGCCCCAUGCCUCAUUAUGGUGCAUUAUAAUGCAGAAUAAUGAGGUCUCAAAUUUCGCCAAACAUCUCUUUAGUAAUAAACUAAUGUGGACAGUAUUAUAAUAUAACACAAUCCCAUACACCAAACACACCCUUAAAUAACUGAUAAUUAUUUCAAAGUAUUUGACUUAAAUAAUUUAAUAAAGGUUUUCAUUUUUAAGAUAAUAUAUAAAACAAGUUUUUAAUAAAUAAAGUUUUGCUAUAAAUAAUUUUAAAGAAUGAAUUUUACUUAACAAAAUAUUGAAAUAAACUAAACAAAUCAGUUUCAUAUACUUUUCAUUCAACAUAAUACAUACCUUGAGUUAAAAGUAUUUUAAUAGUGAAAUACAUGUACCAUGCAUGAAUUUACUUACCUUGAUCUUCAGCAAUAAAAAGAACGGUAACCUCAACCACAAGUUCACUCUUGUCCUAAAACAUCAAGACACAUUCUUAUCAAUAUUAUUGCUCAUUCUGACCUUGAAAUAAAUCCAACAUAUUGAAGCCUAAUCAUAAGUACUAAACCAUCAAAGCUAGUUUAAACUUCACCAUUCUAUAUAAGCUGAUUUUUACUAAGCUAAUCAUAUGUCGGAAAAUUGUAAAAAUUCAAAAAGAAACCAUAAAAAUGGGUAACAUUUCACAUAAAAAUUCAAAAAAAUGAAUAAAGGUCAUAAACAUAUUGUAAAAAGAAUUUUACAUGUAAAUGUCCACACUGUCCAGUAGUGAUAAAAACAUAAACAGUUGAAUUAGAAAAUUUGUAAAAUAUUUAAUAAAACUCAUAAAAAUUAGACCACUUGAUAAUUCAUAAUUUUAUACGAAUAUAAUUUUUAUAGGCCAUUCUAAAGCCUUUUAAUGGCCUAAACUAAUUUCACCAUCAACAAUCCAAUUCUGGAAAGCAGUUUCUAGAACUACAGCAGCCCAACAUAAUGUUUUUUAGUAAUUUUUCUACUCAUCCAAAAGUUAUGAAAUUAAACAUGCAGUAAGUAGACAUAAUGAAGAUUAGAAAAAAAAAAAUCAACAUAAUUUUCAGAGAUUAUUUGGGUAGACGGAAAAAUUGCAAAAUCAGACAUGCUGCUGAAAAUCGAAAUUUUCCACCACCACUGUUCCAACUUCGAAAAUUCACAACAAAUUGAUUACUUGAAAUCUCUUUGCACGAAAUAUAUCAAUGAAAAACCUUAGGAUGUAUUCUUUUGAAAGAUUUCAUGAAAGAAUUGAAUCAAAAUAAAAGGAAAACAAUAAUUAAAUCACAGUACUCAUGCCUCAUAAUGCCUAACUAGUCAUUCUUGAUAAAGAGAACAAAGCAUGCAUUCCUCAUCAAACACAUAAGAUCAGUGAACAUGUAUUAGAGAAGGAUAAUUACCUCAAAAAUUAUUUCAAACGGGCAUAAAAGAAAACCCUAGAAUUUUUUGCUUUUAUAUGGUUGUUAGGUUAAAGAGGUUUAAUCGUAAGAAGAUAGGAAGAGUUUAAGUUUUAUAAAAAUACUUGCUUUUAUAAAAAUAUAUUAUGUGAUUAUUUGAUUAAGAUGAUAUUCUAUGAUAAUUUUUAAAAAUAAAUAAAUAAAUAAAAGAAUUAUACUUUAUCUCAAAUAGUGCUAAUUAAAAUUGAUUAACACAAACAACGACAAAUAACUAAAUAGGUAAGCAUAAACAAACAAACAAAGAAACAAGGAACAUGUGUUACAUACCACCGAGCAGUUCUGGAUCUUAUAGCCUUCAAUCAUCCUCAAGCUUUGAAAAGACUAAAAGAAUGAAUCAAGAUUGGGCAAUUAUGGUAUAAUAUGAUAAGUCCCGUGAUACAGUCGUAUUCUGUUGAUUAUGAGCAGACGAAGAGAGACAUUGAAAUCGAAGAGGAAAAAGCAACAAGGGUUAGAAGCGAGCAAUUGGAGAGCUUAGGCGAAACGAGAAAUGAGGGCAGACAAACACAGGUCUUGAAACGACCCACCCUGAACCACCAGGGUGAGUCUAUCUAGUCUUAUCAAAACUGACUUGAUAAUAAUCUAAUUAGUAAGGAUUCUACCAAAAAUUCGACAAAGUCUUCUCUUUAAAUAUAACACUCUCAAUCCACAAAUAUGUAAAUCAAGCACUCACAAAAUAAUUCAAUAUACAACCAACUCCAAUGAUCAACAUCCUCAACGAAAAUGCUGAAUUUUACUCAAGAUAUCUCCAAAAUAUCAAAGGAUUAUAUUAUAACUAAUAUUAAUAGACAUUAGUUUAUUCUUAAUCCCAAAAAAAUAAUAUAACAAAAUUAUACAAUCCUCAAAAGAAUGAGAUGAUCAGGAUGUCCUAACAAAAAUCAUCUAUAUCUUCUAACACCAUCACGUGGCCAAGAUUCAAAAUAUAUUUACAGUCACUGGGUCAAUCUAGUGUACCUGCAACCUCCUAUUGGGGGGGGGGGGAAUAUGCCAUAUGUAAGAAACCAUUAAUAAAACAUUUAACAUUUAAAUCACAUUACUAACCUUGAAAAGCAUAUAUAAUAUCAUACCUAAUAACCAUGGAAAUCAUAUCACAAUAUCAUAUUGCAUACACAAAUAUGAAAAUCAUCACUAAACAAGUACCCAAGGGAAUAAUCUCAUCGUAUCUGAACCUCAAUGGACGGGCAAUGACGUACUAUCUAGGUACCGUCACGCCCCAGAGCUAUACGGAUAGACAGGAAAAUAUCAUCUCAUAUCUCAUCAUAUCUUUGCAAGUAUAAUCUAGUCCCCAAAGGACAAGAGCGCCCAGGCACACGGCCCAAAGCCUCUGUGUGUCUCAGACAGGCUCAAAGGCUUGUAUCUCAUCUGUAUAUGUAUUAUUGUUAUCAUCAUAUCACAUGCAUAUGCCCCUAAAAGGCAGAAGCACCCAAACACACAGCCCAAAGCCUUUAUCUGUGUUCAGACGGGCCCUAAAGACCUCUCAUCUCAUAUGUAUCACUAUAUCUGGAGGGAAAGGGUAUAUUGUCCAAUGAUUUAAAAAAAACAAUAUCUAUACACAUAUUCAUAUACAUUUUUACCAUAAGUUAAGUCAUGCUCUUCUUUUCAUCAUCACAUCUAAAUUCACUUUUCUUUUCUUUAAAAAUACUAUCAUAUUUUAUUCAAAGUCGAUACGAAAAACCAUUAACCAAACAUUUUAAUAUAAUAUCAAUGCAUGAAUAAAAUCGAUUUCGAGAAAAUCAUUAAAUCAAAACAUUUAAAAUACUUAUUUCCCAAAUAUGCUUUACUAUAAUAAUUAACUAUGAAAAUGUGUUUUAUGUAUUCCACUCACAGUGACGAUAUUCACGCUUGGUUAUUGUCCACGUCCGCAGACUGGUUCUCGCUUGCAAAUCCUCCGAAAUUAAAGAAACGACAUAAUUAUUUUCUGUAAAUCGGAAUUAGGACUAAAUCUAUGCAAUAAACUCGAAACGAACAUCUAUCCAUAAUUUACAACUCUAAUGUCCAUAGAAUUACCAAAAUACCCUCGAAUCUGUAAAUCAUUAAAAUACUCUGAAAUCGUAAAUCACUGAUUACCCUCGAAAUCGUAAUUACACCCAAUCCUCAAUUUAAAAAAUACUAAAAUCUCCACAGGGUCAGAAAUUACAAAAUCGUCCUCAAAAUGUGAAAUUAUCGAAUUGCCCUCAUCGUUCAACGGUGGUCGAGAAGCUCCGGUUUGAUAGUUCCAACCACGCUGAGUCUAAUAGUGUCGGCUAGGGGUGGGCAAAAUCAGGUUCGGGUCAACCCGAUUGGGUUUUGGGUUUUUCGGGUUAGACAAAAAUUAAUCUGAACUUAACCCGAAUUAGUGACCCGACCCGAAUAUAAUUCGAGUCGGAUCGGGUCGGGUCACUAAUUCGGGUUAAGUUCGGGUUAGAUUUAAAUAACUAAUAAUUUAGCAUAAAUAACUAUUAAACUAUAUAUAUAUACCAUGAAAUAUUGAAUUUGAAAUUAUGAAACUUCAAAUCUCAAAAAUGAGUUCGGGUCACAAAGCCACAACACAAAGUCACAAAGGAGAAAGCUCGGGUCGGGUCGGGUUAGGGGCUUCAGCCACGGCAGCAGAUGGCAGCAGCUCACGGCAGCAGCUCACGGUAGUAGAUCGCGGCAGCAUAUGGCAACAGUUCACGGCACAGAUCGCGGCAGCAGAUGGCAGCAGCUCGCGGCACAGAUCGCGACAACAGAUGGCAGCAGCUCGCGGCACAGAUCGCGACAGCAGAUGGCAGCAGCUCGCGGUACAGAUCACGACAGCAGAUCGCGGCAGCAGAUGGCAGCAGCUCGCGGCACAGAUCGCGGCAGCAAAUGGCAGCAGAUCGCCUGUUGGGUGUCGGUUUCGGCAGCAGAUUUGGUUUCGGCAGAGUCAGACUUCAGGCCUUUGGUUUCGGCAGCACUCAUAGCAGAUUGGUUUUGUUCUAUGUGUUGUUUGUGUGUUUCACAGUGUGUGAGUGUGUGUGAAUUGUUGUGAGCUAUGAGGUCCGUCUGCGUCUGGUGUGCAGUGUGCGUGUGUGUUGUAAAGUGUAAAGUGUAAUGGGUGAGUGAUUUUUUUUUUGGGAAGACCCGAUCGGGUAUUCGGAUCGGGUCGGGUUUAAACUGACCUGAUCACAACCCGAUCGGGUUGGCACUUCCUCAUCCGAUCGGGUUGCCAUAACAACCCGAUCCGACCCGAACCCGAUCUUUUUCAGGUCGGAUUGGGUCGGGUCGGAUCGGGUCGGGUAUUUUGCCCACCCCUAGUGUCGGCGGUAGGCUCCCACGCGCGGCAACAACGACGAAUCAAGCUUCCCAAGCAACAAGCUUUCUGGAGGUCGCAACAAUGGUUUCAGGUGGCAAGAUUGGUCAGAAAAUGAUGAGGGUGAGCUGAGGAUCAAGAUCCAAGCAAUGACGUCACCCAAAACGGAUGGAAUUAACAGCAAUGGUGGUGGGUUGAGCCGUAGUUCUUUCAAGCUAAAUCACUGACGUUAUAGCUGUUUUCCGAUGAUGAGGACAAUUGAAGUAUGAUGGCCGGUCCCCAAGCUUCAGAUUGCCACCAAGCUUGGCCAGUGGGGUGGCCAGAAACACAAGAUAUGGCCGGGUUGAUUUCAAGUCAAACGGGGUUGGGUUUUAAGUCGGUUUACAGCUUCUCUAACUCUCUCACACGUGUGUACAUGUUCUCAUGUUUCUAGCUUUUUCUUUUUCUUUUAUUUAUUUUUUAACCGCCUCACUUUUUUUUCACAUAUAUUACAGGUCUUGUUAGAAGCAAUGACAAGGUAGGAACAAGUAGAGGAGGACUAAUGAGAGUUGCCCCUUAUUCUCGUUUCAUGAGACCACCGCCAGUUCACCAAGACAGAAACCUAUCCUACCACCCACCAAACGAAAACCACCCGAGAGAACAUAAUCAGUCGCAUAACAACCAAAGACACAACACCCGGAUACACAACCAAACACAAAAUACUCGAUUCAAUAGACCAAAUCAAUUACCCUCAGCCCCUGUUCAUCAUGAUUUUUCAAGGGAUAGAAUGAUGCAAAUGAUCCAAGGAGAGUAAUGCUUAUGCUCGUUUUACACCGUUGAAGAUUCUGUUGAAAAAACUAUUUCAGGUGAUUAGGGAUCGAGGUCUUUUGUAUCCAUUAACACCCAUCUCAAAAGCUCCCAACAAACGAGAUAGAAAUAGGUUUAUGAGUUUCACAAUACCCAUGGCCACACUACAUCACAAUGUUGUGAUCUGAAGAACCAAGUGGAGGAUCUGGUGAGAAACCGCUAUAUCGAUGAGUAUAUUAUUGGAGCAUGUCCAGUAGUAGAUCAACAAUUCGAGCAGGAGAACACGAGUAAGGUAAUUCAAGAAGAGCCUGUGACCAAGGUCAUUGUAAGGAGCGAAAGAUUCUAAUAGAGCCUAGAAAAACUAUGGAAGAUAUGCGAUGACAAGUCAAAAGGUUCUCUUCAACGUACCAGUAGUAAAGAGGGUGAGAACAGACAAGUACCCAUCAUGUGGAUUGAGGAUUAUGAGGAAAAGAUUCUUUACCCACAAGAAGAUGCAAUAUUCUUUACCCACAAGAAGAUGCUUUGGCAAUAAAGGCCAAUGUGGCAGGUAAGCAAGCUCAAUAGGAUUCUGGUGGACUCAAGUAGUUCAGUGGACUUCCUCUUCAAAAACACCUUAGAUGAAAUAAGAAUUGCAUAUUUAAAGAUGGAGCACACUAGCACAUCCCUAAAAUGGUUCGGUGGUUGAAAAUUAAGACCUCUCGGAGUAGUCUUGAUGCUGGUGAAUAUAGGCAUGAAACUGUUUGAGAUAACUAUUAUGUUGGAUUUUAUGGUAGUCGAGGAAGAUAACCCUUACUAUAUGAUCUUUGGGAGACCAUUCAUGAGGAUUAGUAAAUGUGUGAUGUCCAAUCAUUAUAUGGCGCUCAAGUAUUAAGUGAAUAGAGCUGAAGGUAUGGUAAAAGGUAACUAGAGAAUUGAUAGGAAAUGUUACACGACAGCAGCCAAUGAGGCUAUGCAAAUAACCUCAUUAGACACAUGAGGAAACUCGUAGAAAGAAAGGCAGGAGCCGGUUGAGGAUUUAUAAGACAUAAGAAUAAAGCAAAACGAUCUUAAUAAAAUUAUGAAGAUUGGCUUAAACCUUGGGCAAGAGUUAAAGAAAAACCUAGUAAAUUGCGUGCAAACACAUUCCAAUGUGUUUGCUUGGUCACACGAGGACAUGUCGGGGAUUGAUCUAAGGAUUGCAUGUCAUAAGUUGGCCAUAAGUAAGGAUACAAGAGCAGUAAAAUAGAAGAGGAGAUGUUUUAACCAAAAGAGAUAUGACGUUAUAAACAAUGAAGUAGAAAAGCUGUUGCGAGCAGGGUUUAUCAGGGAAGUUAACUACCCCAAAUGGAUUUCCAAUGUGAUUCUGGUGAAGAAGGCCAAUAAAAAGUGGAGAAUGUGCAUUGGAUUUCACCAACCUUAAUAAAGCAUGUCCAAAUAAUAGUUUCCCACUACCCAAGAUUGAUCAAUCGGUCGAUUCUACAGCAGACCAUGGCCUGCUUAGUUUCAUGGAUGCACUUUCGGAUUACAAUCAAAUACCCAUGCUCGAGUAAGAUGAAGAACACACUGCUUUUAUCACUAAUUAAGGUUUUUUUUUUAUAGGGUUAUGCCCUUCAGCCUAAAAAAUAUAGGCGUUACAUAUUAGAGGCUGGUAAAUAAGAUAUUCAAGCCGCUGAUCAAGCGUACGAUAGAAGUGUAUGUAGAUGACAUGAUAACCAAGUCUAAAGACCCGAUCAAGCAUGUGAUGCACUUGAAGGAGACUUUCAAGCUACUCAGGAAAUACCAGAUGAAACUCAACCUAGAAAAAUAUUUGCUCGGCGUAUCCUUGGGAAAUUUUUUUGGCUCAUGGUGAGCCAUAGGGGAAUAGAAGCAAACAAGAAAAGAUCUGGGCUACUCUUUAGAUGAAAUUUCCUUGCAUAUUAAAAGAGAUCUAAAGCUUGUCAAGAAAGCUAAUAGCCCUAAACUGGUUCAUAUCAAAGGCAACAGAUAAAUGUCACAUUUUCUUCUGGGUUAUAAAGAAAGAAAAAAAGACUGGUGGACACAGGAGUGCGAACAGGCAUCAGUAACUGAAGGAAUACCUGCUCAGGGUUGUACUGUUGUCCACACCAUGAGAAUGUGAUACUUUGAGCUUAUAUCUCGCAGUAUUUCAGUGGACCAAGAGCUCAAUUCUGGUGAAAGAAGAGGCAUAAACCCAACAUCCGGUGUACUUUACUAGCAGGGUACUGCUGGAUACUGAGACUAGAUAUCUGAUGAUGGAAAAAUGGAGCCUUGGCUUUAGUCACAGCUAUUUGUAAGUUAAAGCCUUAAUUUCAGGCACUUUCAGUAGUUGUAAUGACAAAUCAAUCACUGCGACGGGCGUUGCACAAACCAAAGGCUUCUAGUCACUUGGUGAAGUGGUUGGUGGAGUUGAAUGAUUUUGAUAUAAGUUACAAACCCCGAGCAACAAUUAAGGAUUAGCCGAUUUCAUUGCUUAAUGCACAAAGUUAGGCAAAGAAGCUGGUUCUAAUCAGAGAGCGAGGGAAGAGAACACUACUAGAGUGUGGAUGGUAAUAGUGGAUGGAUCUUGUAGAAAACAAGGAUUGGGAACAUGGGUGAUUUUGGUUAGCCCAGAGGGUUUGAGUUCUCUUAUGCACUAAAGGUUUGAGUUCAAAGCAACCAACAACUAGGCAAAAUAUGAAGUCUUUAUCGCAAGAUUGAAGUUGGCCCUGGCAAUGCAAGCAGAUAAGGUUAAAGUUCAAACAUAAUCCCAACUCGUAGCCAACCAUGUCAAUGAAAGUUUCCAGGGAAAAGGUGAAGGGAUGGAGUUGUACUUAAAAAAAGGGUAAGCAAUUGAUGACGAAGUUUUAGGUUGUAAAGGUAAAGCUUAUACCACGGAUAGAAAAUUUUCGAGCUGAUAUCCUGGCAAGGAUGGCCACAAUGUCAGACGCAAAGAUGCUGAUAACUUUAUGAAAUGAGAGUUAUCAUGGUACGUUUAGACUUAAAUCAAUGUUACUUAGAUAAUAAAUGAUAAGAUUUCACGUUGUAGCAUUAUUGUAGCAUUAUUGUUGUAGCAUCAUUGCUGUAGCAAUUCUGUAGCAUUAACAGAGAAGAUUUUGCGAAAGAUACUUAGAAGAUUGCAAUCUGGAGUUUCUUAAAAUGGAAGAUACGCGACCUAGACUUCUGGUUGCCCUAAUUCUAACCUAUAAAAGGAGCACACACACAAAGAAAAGAUGAGAGCUGUCAUCAAAAGAGAAAAACUGAAAAAAAAAAUUCAAGAGAAAGAUUGAGGGCUGCACCAGAGGAGAAAACACAGAGAUCCAUUAAAAAUCGGUCUUUCUUGUUCUUUUCUUGUUUUCUAUUUAUUCAUGGGGAUGUAUUUAAUGGUUAAAAUUCUUUUAUUUAUUUUUCUUUCGCAAAUCAUGAAUUGAAUUUGAUUGUGGUUAAUUGAUAAACGAUCUUAAUGGAUGUUUGACUGACAUAUGCAUGUUGCUCUGUGUUUGCUGCAGUAGUUUGUCUUAAUUGUAUUUAUUUUACUUCCCUAUUUCGGUUGAUCACUCAUUUAAUGGAUACUAGCUAAAAAGGAGCCUAAAAAAGGUAUGACUUAGUGGAACAAAUUAAGACAAUACUUGGCUAUAGAUUAGGUUUACCAACUUGAGUUAAUCUCGAUUUGAAUAGGGUCAUAUUUGAUCUAAAAUUAGUGAAGAACUAAACAUAGAGAUUCACCUUGUAGGGUAAUUAGAACCUAGAAUGCAUAAUGAUAUAUCUAAUGUUAGCAUAACAACUUAUCACUGUUAUGUUACAUAUAGAUAUAAGAUAUCCAACAGGCGACAGCUGAGUAUGCAUGAGAGAUUAUGUCCAGUACUGUAAUAAAUGAUGUAGCAACAGGUUUUUAAUUAGAAAAAUAGUCAAAACCAUUAAGUGGGUUUAAUCACUCAACUACUCUUUUCUUAUUAAUUGCAUCUUCGUGUUUGAUUUAAAAUUUCUCUUAUUGCAUUUUUAAUUUAGUUGGUUUAUUAGUUUCUUUAAUUAUUUUAUUUUAAUUUAAUCUAAACUGCACUGUCAGAAUUGUUGUUGCAAAUCUGAUAACAUCAAUACCUGUGGAGACAAUCUUGAAUAUUUAUCAUUAUAUUAUUUAUUGUGUACACUUAUAUAUUAACACUCAUAGCAUUAGAAUUUACACACCAAAUGCCUAAGUAUGUUCCAAUGGAGGUCAAAACUUCGCCAAGCAUCGAGCAAGAAGCCAAAGUAAUGAAUAUUGAUGUAAAGAGAUCAUGGAUGGAUCCUAUUGUCUUGUAUAUCUGAGAAGGAACAUUGCCAGCAGAUAAAAAACAAGUAAGGAAACUCAAGUGCUAAGCAGCCAAAUAUAUAUUGAUUGACGGAGUAUUAUAUCGACGAGGAUAUACGUUGCCCUUUCUAAGAUGUUUAGAUGAGUAUGAAGCAAACUACGUGUUGAGGGAGGUACGUGAAGGAAUAUGUGGAAACCACUUUGAAGCAAGAUCUUUGGCCUUCAAAGUUUUAGGAUAGGGCUAUUUCUGGCCUACGAUGUAUCAGGAUGUAAAAAAAAAAAAGAUUGGGUGCAGCAAGAGCUGUGAAGAUUUUGCUAAUUACCCGAUACAACCGCCAGAAAAACUCACCACAAUGUUCUCAUCAGUGUAUAUAUGGGCAAUAAUCACUCGAUUUGCGUGAUUGUUCGGCACACCGAAAUACGAGCAAAAGCAUUAUUCCCAUGGCUUAUUUCUCUUAGCCCCCUUAUCAUUUAAUUAUUUCUGCUUCCCGUAUUACCAAUAUUUAGCCGUAUUAUUGUGGAAAUUUCAAAAUAGGACACAGGUAAGGCAACCAAUCAUCAUCCUUCACAUUUUCAAUGUGUGGACUGAUUGAAGAUAUUUUGGAUGAAAGACGUACCACAAAAGAUCCACAACGUGGACAUUGUUGUGCGUGGAAUGCGGAAUCAAGCGCACCAAAUAAUUACUGAAAAAUAAAGGACACAAGAAUUUACGUGGUUCGGUAAUUAAACCUACAUCCACAGAGGCAAGAAAGAAUAAUUGUUUAUUAAACAAUUAAUAGAAUACAAUAUUUGAGUAACGAAUCUCACUUCCCAGAAACCCAAAUAUACCCAGUACUCUCACACUCUGCAGGAAAGAUAAAUUCCCCAGACACACUUCUCUCACUUCUCUCAAAAGCUUAGAAACUUAUAAGCUUAACAAUUUUGGGAUUAUUUCAAAUGAAUGAAAUCCUUAGCUAUUUAUAGGAAAAUUGUUGGCACUAUGCAAAGAAUAAAAUAAUUGAAAAUAUAAUAAAUUAUUAUUAUUAUUUUCAAUACAUCCCCUUUUUCCAUUCUUUCUUUUCGGCUAACAAAACCAUUUUGGAUUUUGCUUCUCAAAGGUUGCCAAAUUGGCUUUGGCUGGCUGCUUUUUCAACAAUUCUCCACCUCGGCGAAGAUUUAGCCAAAUCUGAGCCGACUACCAACUAACCCUCACAUGAUCCUCAAAAGGAUCCACAUUGGCUGCAUCUAUCCGACUGCCUACGUACCCCAAGGUUGGGAUCAAGCCUACCGUAGUUCCAAACAUCCCCCACAUGAUCCUCAAAAGGAUCCACAUUGGCUGCAUCUAUCCGACUGCCUACGUACCCAAAAUUUGGGAUCAAGCCAACCGUAGUUCAAAAAUGAUCCGUAUAAAGAUUUACUCAAUCUGUACACAUGAUUUUCCUUUUCCAGCAACUCUGAAACCACAAGGCUGAAUCAUAGAUAUUUCCUCCUCCAAAUCUCCAUGUAAGAACGCCGUCUUCACAUCCAACUGAGCCAACUCUAACUCAUACUCUGUAACUAAGGCAAGUAGGAUACGAAUGGAAGUAUGUUUUACAACUGGAGAGAAAACUUCAUUGUAGUCAAUACCUUCCUUUUGAGCAAAACCUUUUGCCACGAGCCUUGCCUUGUAUCGAGGAGUUGUUUGAUUCGGAGAUCCUUGCUUUUUGGUGUAGACCCAUUUAUUGCCAAUAGCCCUUUUCCCCUUUGGUAACUUUACAAGUUCCCAAGUCUGGUUUUGAUUGAGAGAUUUCAUCUCUUCCUCCAUGGCUAGCUUCCACUGAUCACUUUCAUUGUUGCGUAAUGCUUCACCGAAAGUAUUGGGGAUGUCAUCAUCAAUAACUGGAAGUGCAUAGGCUACCACCAUAUCUUUAGUAAGCCAUCCGGGUUUCUUUAUCUCUCUUCUUGGCCUCCUUGUUGCUAUAAAAUCAUCAUCAUCUACAUCAUCAAUUGUUUCUUCAUUUUGUGGGACAUCAGAAGAAACAACUUCUGUGAAAGCCAGAAUCAUUGUUAAUUCAUGGGCAACUGGAAGAGAUCCCAUGUAUUGGACCCAGCCCGAGAGCUUUAUUCCCGAAAGAUUCAUUGACCAUUCUGUUGACUUCAAGGGGUCUAAUUUUGAGUACAUCCCGUUUGGUGCUGGUAGGAGGAUAUGCCCUGGAAUGUUGUACGGUCUGGCAAAUGUUGAGUUUCCACUCGCGAUGUUAUUGUACCACUUUGACUGGAAACUCCCAAACGGAAUGAACCAUGAAGAUUUGGAGAUGACUGAGACUUUUGGAGUGACAGUUAGAAGAAAACAAGAUCUGUGCAUGAUUCCUACUCCAUACCAUCAUUCAUCUGUUGCAUAGGCCAAAAAUGAAAAGUCGUGGCAAUUCUUGUCCAACAUGAAUAAGUGCUGUAAUCUUCAUAUUCUAUUUCAUGCAAGGUUUUUCAAUGCAUCUUCUGCAAUUGCUUACCUCAAUUGCGCUGUGUUAUUUUAUAUAUAUAUAUAUUUUUUCACCUCAACUUAGAAAAACAAAUGUCCACUGAUAUAACAAACGCAAAAUCAUCGCAUUCGCUCCCCAGAGAGCCUCGUUUUAAGCCUUCAGCUUAUAGCUUUCUCGUUUAUGUGCAAUUUCCUGGUGGUAUAUUUUACUUUAGGUACCUUGUGAUGCACUUUACUGAAUGCUAAUAAUUCCAUCUCAAAGAAUUGUAUUUUGAAAGUGAAUUCCAGUACAAGAUUUACGAGGAGCGUUUACCGUGUUAUGAAUAGAUAACAUAUCAAUGAUGAAGAACUUCCGGCUGACAGAUACACCACAAAUAAAAUUAUUCCAGUAACUAAACUAUUGUUUAGUUAUUGGUAAAGAAAUCACACUCUAUUCAAUCAUUAGUUAGCGUAGAACUCAAUUUUUUUUUUUCAACUCAGAAAAAAUUAAUCCCGUUUGCUGCUGUACGGCCAAGGCGGAUGUACGGUACAGCAGGACUUCUCUCCUGCAUGUCCCAGUCGUACAUGCCAUAGCUUGGUGGUGUCACUGUGCGCCUCAACAACAUUUGCUUCAUCAGUUGUACCUCCCUUCAAAUAGUACAGAUUGUGACGCCGAACCCCUUGCAGAAUCACCAUAGCCCCAUGUGUAAACUUCAUUGUGCCAUUUUCAAUGGUAACCUUGUAGCCUUUAGCUUCCAAAGCACCUACAGAAAUUAGAUUUUUCUUUAUCUCUGGAACAAAUCUAACCUCUUUGAGUUCUCUGAUCAUUCCAUCAAACAUUUUGAGCCGAAUUGUUCCUAUCCCCAUUGUGCGACAAGGUUUAUCAUUCCCCAUCACAACUGCCCCGGAUUCCAGAUUACGAAAAUCUGCAAACCAUUCCUUAAUAGGACACAAAUGAUAGGUUGCUCCAGUAUCAAGUAUCCACUCACUCGAACUAGCCACACAUGCUGCAGGAGUGAUACUUAAUGAAUAAUCAGAAUCCUCAUCUUUCCGUGCCAUGUUUGCUACUGCUGGUUUCUUCCCAUCUCUCUUUUGAGCCUUUGGACAAUCUUUCCUCCAAUGGCCCUUUUCAUGACAAAAGGCACACUCAUCUCGAGCUAUAUUUCUGCUUCUCGAUUUGGAUCGAGAAUUCUUUCCACCACGCUUUAUUGGUCAAAAUUUGGUAUUAAAAUACAAAUUAUUAAACCUAACAAGUACCCACCACCAAGUUAGCAAAAGUACCUAAAUGCCCUGCUGAAGCUGCAACAUGAAGAGAAGUGGUCAAUCCAUCAUCCAUCUCGAGCAGCGACACCGAUGGAUAGUUGAGCAGCUGCUUGACAACAUCAUGCCUCCCUCUCUCAUACGCCACAUAAAGCGCACUCUCCUUGUUUCUAUUCAUCAUAUGGACCACCCAAGAAUCAGUCUCCAGAAAGAACCGCACAAUGUGUAGCCUCCCUUCUCUUCAUGCUUCAUGCACUGGAGUCUCAAAUUUGUCAUUGGGUGCCGCCAACAUCUCCGGACACAGCUUCAAAAUCUCCAACGCCAACUCUUCGUGCUCAUAACGAGAUGCUAAGUGUAGGAUUGUGUUCGAAGAUCCUGGAACAGUUUGCUUGAUUAUUGCUUCAUCUUCAUGAACCAGAUUCAGAAAAUUUGGUACGUCCCCUUUGAGUAUGGUCUCAAACAGGCGUUCGUCCAUUUGUCAAUAACUGAAGUUGCAGCUAGCAAGCUACGAGGAAUUGGCUUGAUAAGAGGGGAAUUUAAAUAUUUAAUGAUAAAGAGACAGCAAGGCUUUGUUUUAAUUUCCAACAGAUUACGAAAUUUCUCUGUGAUUGCAUAGGCACUAGCAGUAGGGUCUUUUUAAAUUUCUCCAAAAAAUAAAUAAUUCUGCUGUACCGUACAUCCGCCUUGGCCGUACAGCGUAUCCCCCCAAGUACGAACCGUCGGCUCUGAUACCACUUGUUGUGCGCGGAAUGCGGAAUGCGGAAUCAAGCGCACCAAAAAUUAUUGAAAAAUAAAGGACACAAGAAUUUACGUGGUUCGGUAAUUAAACCUACAUCCACGGAGGUAAGAAAGAAUAAUUGUUUAUUUAACAAUUAAUAGAAUACAAUAUUUGAGUAACGAAUCUCACUUCCCAGAAACCCAAAUAUACCCAGUACUCUCACACUCUGCAGGAAAGAUGAAUUCCCCAGACACACUUCUCUCACUUCUCUCAAAAGCUUAGAAACUUAUAAGCUUAACAAUUUUGGGAUGAUUUAGAAUGGAAGAAGUGCCAUCUAUUUAUAGGGAAAAUAAUGACACUAUUGCACCAACCCUUUUACUAUUCCACCUAACCUAAGCAAAUAGUCAAUGGUGUCCAUUUGGCAAAUUUGACAAAUUUGCCAACUUUCUAUUUUUUCUUCAAAUGUUUGGUAGCUCUUUGAAAAAUUGCCACAUGCUUGACAAAUUCUCCAAAUUUGAAUUCAAC